UGAGCAGAUCCCCACCCAGCAGGUCGGGCAGGUAACAAACCAGUUGCCCCAAAAACCCAGACGGCAGCAUCAGCAAAAGUCAUACCUUCCCGUUGGAGCAGGCAGGGAGAUCAGACAGCAAAGGAGCCCGCAGGGGCUUGUUUGAUUUCGUUCGUUUGUUUUGCAAAUUGCGAGGUUGGUUUGGGGUUACUAUUUUUUUUUUCUUUUCCUUAAAAAGGAAAGAAAAAAAAAAGAAAAAAGGAAACAACCCAAUGUUUCUGUUGGCGGAUCCCGUGUUUUGUACGUUUUUUUUUUUUCCCUGUUGUUGUCUUUGUUACUUUGGGAACGUUACCGAUUUAUUUGCUAAUCAGUGUUAAUGAACAGUUUAAAACUUUCAGACUUGCCCAUUUCUGUGUAUUUAUAUAGAUGGAAAAAUACGUUAUAUUUUGUAUCUCUGUGCCCAUGAUGUCGUCGCGCGUGUAAAGAUGACUUCGGUCGCACCAUGUCUGCGUGUGAAUGUGACUCCGCUUUCGUCUUCCCCUUUGUACAGACGUCUGAUUCUCUGCAGUUCAUUGCUUACCAAGGGUGCUGGGGCCCCUCAGGAGUGACAGAAGGGGACAGAAGGUGUGACAGUCCAGUUUUUCAUCAGCAUCAUGUAUGGGCAAAGGCCGGGACCAGCCAGCAUCCCUGGGGUGGGACGGAUGGAAAAGGUCCAAUGCAGACAAAAGCCAACCUCAAGUUCGGGCUGGGGCAAACACGCUCACGUCCUCACCCUGCUUGGCAAAGAGUGGACCCUGUCUGUCCCCGUUCUCGUUGCAACCACUGAGGCCAAGCAUCCCCUGCCAGCCUGAGCCUGCAUUUGCCACCCAACACACACAGCACUGAAGGUGAGGGAUUUGUCCACACGGAUGAUGCUGAGUCCACUGGAAUGUGCUAGAAAGCCUGCCCUGGCACCAACACACGUGUGCGUGCACACGUGAGCUUUCCUGGCUGUGCAUGUGAGGUGCAGGACCUCCCUGCAGGCUGCAAGCCCUGCCAUUGGUGUCUGGGAUGCUGCUGCUGAAUUUCUGCAUCCCUCGGCUGCUCGGCCACAGCGUGCGAUGGUGACACCACAGCCCACGGGCUGAGGGGCACUGGAUCCUUGCCCAAGUGCACGGGGCUCCUCCGGGCACACAGACUGGGUCUGAGCAGCACAGCACCCCAAAAACGCCCUGUGGCCUUCUCUGGGAGGGGACCAAGCUGGCUGCAGGAGACAACAAGGAUGAGCGCCACCACCCAUCCCAGCAGGGCCUGGGGAGGUCCAUUACAGGGCUGUGGGUGAGAAAAGCCCCCCCCGAAGUAGCUAUGGGGGCAUGGUCACCAUCCCAGGAAGGUGUUACUGCUUGGUGGGAGGUCUGUGGGGCAGCAUUUUCCCAUUCUCCACGUCCAUGGUGGACAGAGAAAGGCAACAAAGGGAUUUGGGGUUAAACAUUGAACAAAGAGGGACAGUAUGACACGGUGGGUUUACUCGGAGAGAGAGUGGAGGUGAAACCAUGGAGGUCUUCGAGGGGAGGGAGGGGCUGAGCUGGAGCAGGGCGGCCUGCAGGAGGUCUGGGCUGUCCCUCGGAGAAGGGCGGUGGGCAGGACCGGGCUGUCCUUCUGCCUUGUGAGGUUCUGGCUCCAUCUACAGGGAUGUGCCUCCAAGUGAUGGAGGCCUG
RNAcentral lists this long non-coding RNA (1676 nucleotides) under Anser brachyrhynchus (Pink-footed goose). Its description in RNAcentral is "lncRNA (ENSABRG00000012620.1)". The record is from RNAcentral. Lineage: Eukaryota; Metazoa; Chordata; Aves; Anseriformes; Anatidae.